This 600-nucleotide ribosomal RNA is filed under the name uncultured archaeon. RNAcentral describes it as "bacterial SSU rRNA". It matches the Rfam family "Archaeal small subunit ribosomal RNA", at positions 83 to 680 of the family's 1478-position model. The record is from RNAcentral.
GGACGGCUCAGUAACACGUCGGUAACCUACCCUCGGGAGGGGGAUAACCCCGGGAAACUGGGGCUAAUUCCCCAUAGGCCUGAGGUACUGGAAGGUCCUCAGGCCGAAAGGGACUUAUGUCCGCCCGAGGAUGGGCCGGCGGCCGAUUAGGUAGUUGGUGGGGUAAUGGCCCACCAAGCCGAAGAUCGGUACGGGCUGUGAGAGCAGGAGCCCGGAGAUGGACACUGAGACACGGGUCCAGGCCCUACGGGGCGCAGCAGGCGCGAAACCUCCGCAAUGCGGGAAACCGCGACGGGGGGACCCCGAGUGCCGUGGCAACGCCACGGCUUUUCCGGAGUGUAAAAAGCUCCGGGAAUAAGGGCUGGGCAAGGCCGGUGGCAGCCGCCGCGGUAAUACCGGCGGCCCGAGUGGUGGCCGCUAUUAUUGGGCCUAAAGCGUCCGUAGCCGGGCCCGUAAGUCCCUGGCGAAAUCCCACGGCUCAACCGUGGGGCUUGCUGGGGAUACUGCGGGUCUUGGGACCGGGAGAGGCGGGGGGUACCCCUGGGGUAGGGGUGAAAUCCUAUAAUCCCAGGGGGACCGCCAGUGGCGAAGGCGCCCCGC